Molecule: long non-coding RNA, 528 nt
Filed under: Capsicum annuum
Lineage: Eukaryota; Viridiplantae; Streptophyta; Magnoliopsida; Solanales; Solanaceae
Description: long non-coding RNA (CANN_LNC006381)
Source: RNAcentral
UUUUGAACUCUUUUUGAAAGUAAUCUUUUAGAAGAAAAGUCUUUGGGGUUAGAUCUCUAAGGUUUUGUAGGAUCUCUUCUAGAUCCUGGUUGCAUUGCCUCAGAUUUUUUAGGUUGGAAAUUUCUUUAUCUUCUUGGUUUUCUUCCCAUACUUCUGGUAUUUGGGGAAGUUGUUGGCUCAUUUAGAGGAUCAUAGGGUUCCAUGGCAUGAAGAAAGAACCCACUAGUAUUGCAUUGGAAGAUUGAGUUGGGAAAAAGGGUAGAGUCAGAAAUAUUUAAGAGGGAAGGUAGAUCUGAUCCUGAGUCUAUAGGUGUACAGAGUUCAUGGAUACUUGGUCCAGAAGGAGGGUUUGUAUCCAUAAUUGGUUGCCCAAUAAGUUGACUGAGUGAUUUAUUACUUCCUUUACUACAUUGGCCAGGUAGUGAGGGUCUUGCAAGGUCAGGAUCAUAGGUUGAUUCCCAAUGCAAACAUUGAGUGUCAUGAGGAAGUCUUGUAGGAGUAGUUCCAACCAGGAUAUUGGCGAGUGAU